GGAAAUUGGGAAGCUCUUCCGUUAUCGGAGCAGCAACUAGAUUAUGCUGCCAUUGAUGCUUAUGUCUCUUGGUAUCUCUAUCAGGUGAUUAAGGAACUCCCGGAUCACCAACUAGCUGCUGUUGAGGGGAGAGUUGAAGAUAUAAAGCAACAAUGAAACGAAAUUGUUUGAUCAUCAUUACACAUUCCAUUCAGUAUUAAUUUAUAAACGUAUAGAAAAUAUCCCAUUUUGGAGACAUUUCUCAGCUAAUUGAAAUCGAAAUAGCCGUUACAUGUGGCUAUAUGUAUUUGUCUGUUCAGUUAAGAUCUCAUGUGAAUUACUUUUAUGGAAAGCAAAUAAUUUGGAAAAAAAUACCCA
This is a long non-coding RNA of Neltuma alba, 357 nucleotides long. RefSeq lists it as uncharacterized. The record is from RefSeq and is a predicted model, not a curated record. NCBI's taxonomy places the organism in Eukaryota, Viridiplantae, Streptophyta, Magnoliopsida, Fabales, Fabaceae. The transcript has 2 exons.